Long non-coding RNA from Camelus dromedarius (Arabian camel), 3863 nucleotides. RefSeq lists it as uncharacterized. NCBI's taxonomy places the organism in Eukaryota, Metazoa, Chordata, Mammalia, Artiodactyla, Camelidae. The transcript is spliced from 7 exons. The record is from RefSeq and is a predicted model, not a curated record.
UGUCUGCUCAGGAAGGCCCCUCCCUCCCCGGUGGGGGCUCCGUCCUUGAGUGGCAGCCCGAGAAUGUGCCUGCCUGGUGUCCAGGACCCGUGGUGUCUUCCCCUCCUCUCUGCCAUAGGACACAGGGCAAGGAGGAGCCCUCCCAGCUCAUGUGUUCCUAGGAGCCUGGUUGUUCCUGGAGAAAAAGAUUCCACAAGGUGAAGUUUCUAAUACUCAGGAUUUGUAAAAAGCCAGGUAUCUAAUAGGACUAGUGAAGAAUACUGCAGCUGCGCUCCAGGCGGAAGUGAGAACACUGGGAAAAUCUUUAUGCGCUGUCAAUACGAUUUAAGAAAGCCUUCACAGAUACAGAGUAUUUCCAAAACUCAACAGUGAAGUGCGGAAAUGAAACAAACGUCUUCUAGCAAGCCACUGAAUUGCUCCCAAGUAAUUGAUGGUGGUGAAUGUGUCCAGGUCCCGGAGGAUGUUCUGUGAUGUUCCUUUCAUUUCACUGAAGGAGCAAAUGGAAAAGGCAAAGCGCAGGCAGAACAAGCGACCUACCCUACAGAUCAGUGGGAGUAGAGCAGAGGCCUCUGGGCUCCCAGGUUGGUGGUUAUCCAGGAAGACCAACACUCCUCAAAUGUACGGCAUUGAUCCUGGAAAGCAAUCACUGUGACAGAACUGUGAGCAGACCAGCAUAGAUAGGUUCUGACAGGUUAUUUCCCAAGCUGGAUGACAAAGAAAAAUGGACUCAGCGCUCAGGAGCACUUUGUAAACCCAUAAACUCAAAAGUCCACUUGAAGGAGACCUUGAAGUUAUCUAUUGCUGGCGUUACCAAAGGAAGAAGAACAGACCAUUCUAUUAAGCAAAUCUCUUCUGCUGGUGACGUUAAAAUAAUUUAGUGGAACCUCGGCCAUUCCCAAGUCACAGGAAUGUGCCAUAGCCAAGGACUCAGCCCCUCCCUGUUCCAUAAAAGGUAUGAGUUCAUACUAUGCUGUCAAAUCACUGUCCCAAUAUUUUCAACAGCAGGGGUCAAACAUUUAGGAUUUUAUUCAUGUCCUUUAAACACUUAAACUUGAGAUAUGUAGAGAAAUCCACCAGUCUCCUUCAGUAUUCAUUUAAACUUGGUCCUUAUGAAGAUGUUCUGAGUCACAGGGCAUCAGGAGAAUGAAUUCAAGGACACUUCUUUUGGUUCUCUUUUAUUCAGAGAAUAUCAGGCUCUCAGAAGGGUGGCUGAAAUGCAGCUGCAGAGAGGGAACCCUUGUUCUAAAGUUAACAACCUAAAAUAGCUCUAAACUUGGUAAAAUGGAUUUUGUUCUCUGUCUUUGGUAUAUAUGGCAAUAAACCGGCUAUGAUCUGCUCUGCUUUUUAUUACAGUUGGAAGCGAGUGCCUUUUACCAUAAAAACCACAGUUUCAAGUCCUGAUAGAUACAAUCUGAAAACCCUCCACAGUGCUACUAGCCAAAACAAAUUCUGUUCAACAUGUGAAGCUUGGUACUUGCUGGCUGUGUGACCUUGAACAAAUACCUUGCCCUCUGUUUCCUCACCAGUCAUGGAGUUGGUCUAGAACCUACCUCGUAAGGAUGUGAAGAAUAAAUGAAGUUGUCCAAAUGGAGUACUUAGUAUAGUGUUGGGCACACGGCAGACACUAAACUUUAGCCAUUACUGAAAAAAGAAACUUCAGGUAUUUGGCACUAAAGUGUCUUUCUGUUAAGCUUUCCAUUUAAGCUCAUCUUUCCUUCCCUACUCUCUCACUCACCAUGAACGUUCUUGAAGGAAGAGUCUACUCCUACUGUGACCUCUCAUGCUCCCAGGCACCUUGAACUUUCAGUGCUGUGGCUUCCACCCCAAUCUCCUAACAUGGUCUCUCAAGCUCACCAAUGACCUGUCAAGUCUAUUGCCUAAUUUAAGUUUCUUCCACUUGGCCAUGGGACCACAAGUGGACUGACUAUUCCUUUUUAAAAGUGGCUUUCUCCCUGGGCUUCCAUGGCACACCAUUUCUUGAUUCUCUCCCCACCUCUCCCCAUCACUUUGAUUCUUCCCUGUCAGUUUCAUUCCUUUCUUGGCUGGGGUAAGAGGUCGGAGAGGUCUGGGUUUGAGUGCGUCUCUGCUGCGUACUAGGUGUGUGACCUCAGGUUAACUUCUUAAUCUCUAUGAGCCUGUGUUUUCUCAUCAGCCUCAAGGUGAUAAAAACAGUACCUCUUUUUCAGAGUUUGUUUUGAGAAUUAAAUAAAAUAUGUAUUUAGCCUAGCAUUUGUAGUGCAGUCUGAACUCAUACCUACUGUGGCAUUAGUAAUAUCUGUCAUUCAGCACAUUUACUGUGGAAUAAACAGGGGCCAGAUACUAUCUAUAUUUGUCUGCUUCUCAACCUUUACUGUAACAUUAGCCCAUUCUUUCCCUCCUCACCCUCUAUGUGACCCUUUAUUCCUCUUCCUCCUGAAUUUACUGUGUUAGUUAGUGGCCCUCUGUCCACCCAGCAUCCUACAUUCAGUUCACCUUUAACUGUUAACUCUCCAUCAUACCCUGCAUCCAAGUGUUGAUGCAGUCCAGGGCAUUUAUCUCAGCUACAGUCAACUGAACUGGGUCCUUCCUAAUCAAGUGCCAAGCUACUCAUUUGCCACACCCAACAAACUCCAGUCUCUAUCUACUGCCUAAUUUUUUCCUUGACAAAUUUUAGAAAAUUGUUAAAUUUUGAUCAGUCUCUUUCUGUAGGUAGAGUAUGUAAUAAAUGAAUUUGUAAAUAAAUCAGUGUGAAUAACAAGGAAUGCUAUGUCCAGCUCUGUCCCUAACGGUGUCCAAACAUUAACAGAUUUUGGUGGCCAACCCUGUUUUCUGCUAGAAGAAAGCAAAGUUCUUCGGAAAGCAGUGGGUUCCAUACCUUGGGGCAAAGAAAACUCAGAACGGCCUGACAUAUUUUAUUGCCAGACAACAAAGAUAUUAAAGAUACCUUCAGAGAUGGUAGGGAUAGCACCCAAAGAGAAGCCAGUUUAAAGCAGGUACUACUAGAUAAGUUGUAUAUCCACUGUGAUGUUAGAACAUCGAUAGCAAUAAAAGUCGUAACAGUGAAGAGGAUAACAAUUAUAAUAAUUUUAUAUAACUUUGUUGCAGCCAUAACUGGUUAAUGUUGAGUUAAUAGAAAAUGUACAAAAAUGAAGUUGAAAUCCAAAACAAGAUUAACUAUAACCAGAUGCUUAAUUUUUAUUUGAUUGCUGUUAAUAUGUAAAGAUUAUUAAAAUACUUAGAUGUUUUAUUUCUUUUAUGUAUCUAUCUAUAUGUGAAAGUAUUACUUGUUUCUAUCUGUGCCAGUAGCAGUAGGUAAAUACAGGAAACUGAGAGUAAGCUAAGGCAUUUCAGAAAGAAUAGAAACUGUUCCAGCCUAAAUGUCCAUCAACUGAUGACUGAAUAAAUAUGAUGUAUUUUUAUACAAUGGAAUACUAUUCAGCCAUAAAAAUGGACAACACAACGCCAUUUGCAGCAACAUGGAUGCUCCUGGAGAAUGUCAUUCUAAGUGAAGUAAGCCAGAAAGAGAAAGAAAAAUAUCAUAUGAGAUUGCUCAUAUGCAGAAUCUAAAAAACAAAACAAAACAAAACAUAAAUACAAAACAGAAACAGACUCAUAGACAUAGAAUACAAACUUGUGGUUGCCAGGGGGAUGGGAGGUGGGAAGGGACAGACUGGGAUUUCAAAAAGUAGAAUAGAUAAACAAGAUUGUACUGCGUAGCACAGGGAAAUAUAUACAGGAUCUUGUGGUGGCUCACAGUGAAAGAGAAUGUGACAAUGUAUGUAUGUUCACGUGUAACUGAAAAAUUGUGCUCUACACUGGAAUUUGGCGCAACAUUGUAAAAUGACUAUGACUCAAUAAAAAAAAUGGUUUUUUUUUUUAAAAAA